UACGUAGGGGGCAAGCGUUAUCCGGAAUUACUGGGUGUAAAGGGUGAGUAGGCGGCAUGGUAAGCCAGAUGUGAAAGCCUUGGGCUUAACCCGAGGAUUGCAUUUGGAACUAUCAAGCUAGAGUACAGGAGAGGAAAGCGGAAUUCCUAGUGUAGCGGUGAAAUGCGUAGAUAUUAGGAAGAACACCAGUGGCGAAGGCGGCUUUCUGGACAGUAACUGACGUUGAGGCUCGAAAGCGUGGGGAGCAAACAGG
RNAcentral lists this ribosomal RNA (253 nucleotides) under uncultured bacterium. RNAcentral describes it as "partial 16S ribosomal RNA". It matches the Rfam family "Bacterial small subunit ribosomal RNA", at positions 524 to 776 of the family's 1533-position model. The record is from RNAcentral.